RNAcentral lists this ribosomal RNA (442 nucleotides) under uncultured bacterium. RNAcentral's name for it is "partial 16S ribosomal RNA". It matches the Rfam family "Bacterial small subunit ribosomal RNA", at positions 338 to 795 of the family's 1533-position model. The record is from RNAcentral.
CCUACGGGAGGCAGCAGUAGGGAAUCUUUCACAAUGGGCGAAAGCCUGAUGGAGCAACGCCGCGUGCAGGAUGAAGGCCUUCGGGUUGUAAACUGCUUUUAUAAGCGAGAAAUAUGAUGGUAACUUAUGAAUAAGGAUCGGCUAACUACGUGCCAGCAGCCGCGGUCAUACGUAGGAUCCGAGCAUUAUCCGGAGUGACUGGGUGUAAAGAGUUGCGUAGGUGGCAUAACAAGUAGCUAGUGAAAUCUGGUGGCUCAACCAUUCAGACUAUUAGCUAAACUGUUAAGCUCGAGACCGUUAGGGGUAACUGGAAGUUCUAGUGUAGGAGUGAAAUCCGUAGAUAUUAGAAGGAACACCAAUAGCGUAGGCAGGUUGCUGGGACGGUUCUGACACUAAGGCACGAAAGCGUAGGGAGCAAACGGGAUUAGAUACCCGUGUAGUC